CUGAUGGCGACCGGCGUACGGGUGAGUAACGCGUAUCCAACCUGCCCUUUACUAUGGGACAGCCCGUCGAAAGGCGGAUUAAUACCGUAUGUUGUCAUGUUGAUGCAUAUUUUCAUGACCAAAGGCUUCGGCCGGUAAAGGAUGGGGAUGCGUCUGAUUAGCUUGCCGGCGGGGUAACGGCCCACCGGGGCGACGAUCAGUAGGGGUUCUGAGAGGAAGGUCCCCACAUUGGAACUGAGACACGGUCCAAACUCCUACGGAAGGCAGCAG
RNAcentral lists this ribosomal RNA (270 nucleotides) under uncultured bacterium. Its description in RNAcentral is "partial 16S ribosomal RNA". It matches the Rfam family "Bacterial small subunit ribosomal RNA", at positions 85 to 354 of the family's 1533-position model. The record is from RNAcentral.